RNAcentral lists this ribosomal RNA (1553 nucleotides) under Staphylococcus aureus. RNAcentral's name for it is "bacterial SSU rRNA". It matches the Rfam family "Bacterial small subunit ribosomal RNA". Lineage: Bacteria; Bacillati; Bacillota; Bacilli; Caryophanales; Staphylococcaceae. The record is from RNAcentral.
UUUAUGGAGAGUUUGAUCCUGGCUCAGGAUGAACGCUGGCGGCGUGCCUAAUACAUGCAAGUCGAGCGAACGGACGAGAAGCUUGCUUCUCUGAUGUUAGCGGCGGACGGGUGAGUAACACGUGGAUAACCUACCUAUAAGACUGGGAUAACUUCGGGAAACCGGAGCUAAUACCGGAUAAUAUUUUGAACCGCAUGGUUCAAAAGUGAAAGACGGUCUUGCUGUCACUUAUAGAUGGAUCCGCGCUGCAUUAGCUAGUUGGUAAGGUAACGGCUUACCAAGGCAACGAUGCAUAGCCGACCUGAGAGGGUGAUCGGCCACACUGGAACUGAGACACGGUCCAGACUCCUACGGGAGGCAGCAGUAGGGAAUCUUCCGCAAUGGGCGAAAGCCUGACGGAGCAACGCCGCGUGAGUGAUGAAGGUCUUCGGAUCGUAAAACUCUGUUAUUAGGGAAGAACAUAUGUGUAAGUAACUGUGCACAUCUUGACGGUACCUAAUCAGAAAGCCACGGCUAACUACGUGCCAGCAGCCGCGGUAAUACGUAGGUGGCAAGCGUUAUCCGGAAUUAUUGGGCGUAAAGCGCGCGUAGGCGGUUUUUUAAGUCUGAUGUGAAAGCCCACGGCUCAACCGUGGAGGGUCAUUGGAAACUGGAAAACUUGAGUGCAGAAGAGGAAAGUGGAAUUCCAUGUGUAGCGGUGAAAUGCGCAGAGAUAUGGAGGAACACCAGUGGCGAAGGCGACUUUCUGGUCUGUAACUGACGCUGAUGUGCGAAAGCGUGGGGAUCAAACAGGAUUAGAUACCCUGGUAGUCCACGCCGUAAACGAUGAGUGCUAAGUGUUAGGGGGUUUCCGCCCCUUAGUGCUGCAGCUAACGCAUUAAGCACUCCGCCUGGGAGUACGACCGCAAGGUUGAAACUCAAAGGAAUUGACGGGGACCCGCACAAGCGGUGGAGCAUGUGGUUUAAUUCGAAGCAACGCGAAGAACCUUACCAAAUCUUGACAUCCUUUGACAACUCUAGAGAUAGAGCUUUCCCCUUCGGGGGACAAAGUGACAGGUGGUGCAUGGUUGUCGUCAGCUCGUGUCGUGAGAUGUUGGGUUAAGUCCCGCAACGAGCGCAACCCUUAAGCUUAGUUGCCAUCAUUAAGUUGGGCACUCUAAGUUGACUGCCGGUGACAAACCGGAGGAAGGUGGGGAUGACGUCAAAUCAUCAUGCCCCUUAUGAUUUGGGCUACACACGUGCUACAAUGGACAAUACAAAGGGCAGCGAAACCGUGAGGUCAAGCAAAUCCCAUAAAGUUGUUCUCAGUUCGGAUUGUAGUCUGCAACUCGACUACAUGAAGCUGGAAUCGCUAGUAAUCGUAGAUCAGCAUGCUACGGUGAAUACGUUCCCGGGUCUUGUACACACCGCCCGUCACACCACGAGAGUUUGUAACACCCGAAGCCGGUGGAGUAACCUUUUAGGAGCUAGCCGUCGAAGGUGGGACAAAUGAUUGGGGUGAAGUCGUAACAAGGUAGCCGUAUCGGAAGGUGCGGCUGGAUCACCUCCUUUCU